This is a long non-coding RNA of Neofelis nebulosa (Clouded leopard), 3998 nucleotides long. RefSeq lists it as uncharacterized. The transcript is spliced from 9 exons. Lineage: Eukaryota; Metazoa; Chordata; Mammalia; Carnivora; Felidae. The record is from RefSeq and is a predicted model, not a curated record.
GGAGGUGCUCUGACGUGGAGGCGGGGGGAUGGGCUCUUCCGGAGAGUGCACCCCUCCCUGGUUGUGUGUUCCAGAAAGCUGGGCCUCGCCCUGCCCUCAGGAGGCACACAGCCCGAGGAAAGGUGACUGGGAAACCAAGUCAGUGCGGGGUUUAGAGCUGCCGUGGAGAGGAAAGCGAUGCCCACACUUCCCCAAACUUUGAAGACGAGAUUUGGGGCCCGCGGUAGGGAGGUUCCAUGUUGAGAAGGGACGGUCCCUGUAAGCAAGGUGCUGUGCUUUGGUGAUCUGGGUAAUUGCUGCCCCAAGGACAGUCAGGUCCUUGAUUGCCUCACGUCAACAUCGCAAGACCUGGGCCUCUUGCCCUGUGGCUUCCUGCGAACCUGCUGGCAACCUCACAGGGAUUCACUAUCCUCAGUAUGCUUAGCAGAAGGGAGAAUAAUAGGGAUAAAUUUGUCGUAUACUUUACACAGAGCUCUUGAAGGCCCUGACCAGUGGUGAAACCAUUCAGUCACUUCUGAGUGUGAGGCAGUGUGGCCGGUGGCCCAGCAAGCAGGUCAGAGGUAAUCAGGCACCUGAAUCUGGUGAGCCCCAGUGAGCAUCUCACUGGAGCAGACUGUCACCUGUGGAGCACCCCUGUGAACCACCCCUUGGUAUCCACUCGGUGGGAAGUCCCCCUACCUUAGUUGUAGAAUGGCACCGUGACUGGCUUUUGCCAAUAAGAUAUAGUAAAAGUACACUGGGCCAGUUCCAGCCUAAGCCUGGAGAAGCCGAGCGGGUUUGGCACUCUACGGAGCCCUGUGCUACCGUGUAGAAUUUCUCCCUGCUGCGAAAAGCCUCAUGGAGAGGCCACGUGGAAAGGGAGAAACCUCAGCCUCCAUCCGUCUGACCCACUGACUAAAUUCGCAUCAGCAAGACCACCAGAAGAACCGCUCAGCUGAUCCCAGCAGAGCACAGUGUGGAUUUGUGACCACAGAUUUUGCAGCCAGUACAGAGAAGGAAUUCCCGAAUGGAAACGCUAAGUCCAAGUACAAAGUCACAAAGAACUGAACUAGAGAGAAGGGCUGGAUCUGAGCAUCUCUGAGAGGCUUUGAUGAACAUGCGUGUCACCAGCCAUGUCAGCCUUGAACUUGUUUCCAAGGAUCUAUGUUGCUUCCUAAAUAUACUGAAUUCUCCAUUUAUAAAUACUCUCAAGUGGGACAUCUUCAUGGACAGACCUCAUUUCGUCUCACACAAGCUGCUGCCUCUACUUGAAGCCUCUCGCCCCUUUAUUUGGGUGGUAGGUUGGCAGAGAGGAAGAGAAAGUCCAGCAUGAAAACGUAGAGCCUGGAGUGGGAGAGUCACACGGCCCUGCUGACAACUUCGGAUUCUGACACUUCCCUUUGGUUUUUAAAAUUUUCACUGAUUUUGAAAGAGACACGAAGAGCAAGCAGGGGAAGGGCAGAGAGAGAGAAAGAGGGAGUGAGCGAGUGAGGGAGGGAGACAGAAACCCAAGCAGGCUCCAUACUGUCAGCACAGAGCCCGAUGUGGGGCUUGAACUCAAGAACCGUGAGAGCACAACCUGAGCCGACAUCAAGAGUCGGGCACUUAGCCAACUGAGCCGCCAUCACGCCCCCAUUCUUAUUCUAUCAUUUGUGAAUUCCUUCGGCCAUCCUUGCACCAUCCACAGACCCCAUCUACAUGUAAGACAACCAUGAAGAGAUCAGCACGCACAGAUGUGCCUACAAAACUGGAUAAAUAUUAGGAUCAGAAUAAAAGCCCGGCGACAACACUGAAUAGAAUGGUUUAUUUUUCGAAAAUCACAGCACAAAGAGGGGACUCUGGAAAGCAGAUGUAUCCAUGUUGCCGUUAGGUAUCCAGAAGGAGAAAGCACAGGAACUGCCCAAGGAGGCCUCUUCUCUUCUUUGUGCCAUAAUAUCACCAACACUCCUUCCAGAGGAAAGAACCUCACGCCCAGCAGGAGAAUGAGGUCUUUGUUCAGUCCAGUAAGGGACAUUUACUGAGUGGCCUUUCUGUAGCAUGCAUUUGGUGACGAACAAUUCACAUAUAGGUAUGUAUUACAAAUACCUUUGUCUUGCUUCUGCCAGGGCCGUGGGAGGUUGGAGUGCAGACCGCUUUAGGUGGGGGGCAGACUACGUUGGGGAGGACCUGGACCUGGGGAGACAUUAAGUUAGACUCUGAAGGCUGGAUGGAUCUAAACUGAGGAGUUGGAAGAGGGGAACCGAAUACGUGGAAAAACGUACUGUAGAGUGAGAGAGUGUUAGCACUGGGAAUAGCAACAUAUCGGGGAACUUGACUGGAUCAGUCUGGAAGGGCGAUUCAUGCAGAAACUGGGUGCAGGAUAAAUCAGAACUGUGGGUACUGGAGGCAGGAACACCAAGAAGGGAUUGGUUCUGAUCCAUCUAGAGGCUCGAUGAUAGGAAUCUGGGUCAAGACCAUGGCAGUGAGCACGGAAGAGAGAGGGAGACGGGGAGAAAAGAUGGCGGACUGGAUGGGGAGACACAGGAGGAAGGGCACUCAAAGAAGAGAUUUUAGCACUUGAGAAUAAAUCGUACCGACUGUGGAAGAAUGGAGACAAAGGAGACUUGUUGAUGGUGGCCGUGAAGACCCCAAAAGGGAGGAGGAGACAGUGGGUCUCUGGAUGAGCACAUCUACCACAUUUACAAGUCCUGUCCCUCAUGUCACAGGAUGCUGGAAGGUGUACAUUUCUUGACCUCGAACAAGGGAGAAAGGCUGGACUUCCAUUCAGCAGACAUUGUCAGGUGCUUGGGUGCCCCUCUACCAGGGGAGAGGGGAACACGGUAUGUUCCUUGUUCCUUGUUCCCAGUCCACUGUAGAGGCAGACAUAUUUUAAGUUCUUAAAAAUUCACAGAGCCAACAGCCUGCAGGCCCCUCAGCCUUUGGGUACCAUCAACGAUACACAACGUGGCAGCCAGUUCCACUGCGCCUGUAGGAAGCACUCAACCGGACUGGGGGAGAGCCCGAGGAGACCGGUCCUGAGAGAAGAGAGCUGAGUGGCAAGGGCCACCUUGCUCUGAGCCCCACACUGCGGUCUCAGCAAAGAUGGACUCAGCAGAAAGCUAUGUGGGGGUCCCCACCUCCCGUUUCCUCUGAGAAGCAGCCAGCCUUACGAACCAACACGUACCCUGUCCCGGCACACCUACCACGCACACUCUUGGGAAUGGCAAGGAGGCAACAGACAGAGACCAACUCGGUUGACCAGACUGAUUUCCCAGGUACCAGGGCCAUGAGGCAGACAGAGGCUUGGUGGUCAGGAGCAGCAGGGGCAGUAUGAGAAGCGGGGACCAGGGACAGGCUGGGACUGCGGAGAUCUGGGAGAUGCCGGCAGCAGAUGCAGGUGAGAGCAGGUUGUGGGGACAGUGGCCUUCCAACCAGUGCCAGUGUGGACAGAGGCCAACUGACGAGAUGCCUUCUUCUCAUGGAUACUGGAUGCACCGAGAUGAUCCCUGCCGCCACCGCAGAAGAAAGAAGGCGUCCCUAAACUAUAGCAAAGGCCGAUUUAUCUGAGUCUACCAUGAACCCAGAUGAACUUCACACCACAACGGAGCCGUGCCCUGGAGCUCGGCAGUCACCUCUGCGACCGUGAUGAUGUCUCCCUGUUUCAGUUGCUCGACAGGAUACCGUGGGAUGUGGAGGUCGGCACAACAUAGCCCAGGAUGAAGCCGACCGCUGCAAGACGGUCACAAGUUCGGAUCCUGUCCCUGCAUCCUCCACUCUGCGUUCCCUGAGGGCCGACAAGGCUGCAGGACACGUGUCAGGCCCAGGCCCCGCCACUGGGUGGUCCCAUUUCUCCUGAGACUCCCUCUCAGACUCUGUAACAUCCCUUCCGUCCUCCCAGCUGGCAGGACCCAACCAUGACCCUUCACACUCUGAGGUGUGGAAACCCUCCUCCAUUCUUAGGGGGCCAGAAUUCGCUACAAGGGAGUCUUUUGCAAGAGCGAACAUUUAUUCAGUCAACAAACAUGGGCUGCUUGCCAGGG